AAUGAAGGAAUGGGUGAAUUAUUGAAGUUGAUUUCAAAUUGAAAUUUACCUCAAAUUCCCUCAUUCAAAUAAAAACUAAUAUGGUAGACCACAGUACGUCCGUACCUACCAUGCCAGUGACGGUGUAUAUGCGGCAAAACCUGUAAAAUGCAUCCCAUUCUUCCCAUAAACGACUCAGUGGAGUUGCUUUCUGAUUAUCUUUUGGCUGUAAUAGGAACUCAGCAUCUGAUGUGGUACAAAAGGUUUGUAUAUGUUGGGUUUUGUAUACCCUGAGCUUGUUGCAACUGCUGCUAAAAAUGUCUGUUGCAUUUAUAAUGUUGGAGCUAGAAGGGCCGGUAUAUUUAUAUUCUUUAUCUUGAUUCAGAGUUUUUGUAUGUCUCCUUUGUGACUGAAGAGGUACUAGCAUGCCUAAAUCAAAUGUUCAUAUAGGUUAAGUACACCAUGCAAAUGGAAAUUUGCACAUUUUUAAUAGACUAAAAUGCAACUUGUGUACCUAUGGUAUAGUGAAUGUGCACUUUGUGUACCUGUGGUUUGGAAACUAGCAGAAAGCAUGCUGUGGUAUCCAAAAUUGUGCGAAGUGUGUACUACCGUCUAUUUGCUUCUAACACCGUCAGGGUAGAAUCGUCCUUUCAGCAUAAUGGUGUAUAUGUGGUAUCUGUGUUGCAUGUUUUGAAUUUUUUGAUGCUUUUAAUUUUUUGUUUGCCGACUCGCGUCCCCGGGGGCAAUGCAUGAUACUCCUCUCCAACAAAUCACUUAUAUUGUAGAGGAGUAUACAAGUGAUUUGUUGGAGAGGAGUAUCAUGUAUUUUUGCUCCGAGACACGAGUCGGCGAACAAAAUUAAAAGCAGCAUUGUUUCAAAAAAAAAUUGAUUAAAAGCAGUAAAAAAGUUAAAAACAUGCAACAGAGAGACCGGGAGAAGCAUGCAACAGCCAACAGUUCUGCAAUAAUGCUGAAAAGUCGAUUCUGCCCUUCUAAAACUAACGGUGUUAAAAGUUGAUGGACGGAAGUACACAUUUUGCACUGGUUUGGAUAGUUCAGCAUGCAAUUUGCUACUUUCCUUACCACAGGUACACAAAGUGCACAAAGACAAUACCACAGGUACACAACAUGCAUUUUAGUCUUUUUAAUAUAAGUUCAUCAUCAAUGCAACAAAUUAUAAAGUGUGUUGGAGAACAUGUCAACAGUGGCGGAACCAGGAAUAAAUCUUAGGGGGGGCUCAAAUUUGAAAGCAAGUGAAAUUGUAAAGGACUGAUUGAAAUUUGAAUCUAAAAAGGGAGAGUCAGAGAGAGCAAGUUGCAGGCCCGUGGGAAGUGGACACAGGGAGCCGGCCGCUGGGAGGGAGAGCGUAGCUGAGCAGGUUGUCGCAGGUCCCGGGUGAAUGAAUUUAUCGCAGUGAGAUGCUGAGUUAGGAUAUUGUCAAGUGUGUGCGUAUGACUUAUGAGUGUAUGUGAUUGAAUGUACUCCCUCCAUCCCAAAUUAGAUGAUCCAUUUGAGAAAAAAAUUUAUUCCAAUAUAGUUGAGCCUCUUUCAAGGAAUGGGUGAAUUAUUGAAGUUGAUUUCAAAUUGAAAUUUACCUCAAAUUCCCUCAUUCAAAUAAAAACUAAUAUGGUAGACCACAGUACGUCCGUACCUACCAUGCCAGUGACGGUGUAUAUGCGGCAAAACCUGUAAAAUGCAUCCCAUUCUUCCCAUAAACGACUCAGUGGAGUUGCUUUCUGAUUAUCUUUUGGCUGUAAUAGGAACUCAGCAUCUGAUGUGGUACAAAAGGUUUGUAUAUGUUGGGUUUUGUAUACCCUGAGCUUGUUGCAACUGCUGCUAAAAAUGUCUGUUGCAUUUAUAAUGUUGGAGCUAGAAGGGCCGGU
RNAcentral lists this long non-coding RNA (1862 nucleotides) under Daucus carota (carrot). RNAcentral describes it as "long non-coding RNA (DCAR_LNC005723)". Lineage: Eukaryota; Viridiplantae; Streptophyta; Magnoliopsida; Apiales; Apiaceae. The record is from RNAcentral.